CCGGAUGACUCAUCGCCGGAUGACGACUCGCCUGAUGACUCCUCGCCUGCUGACUCAUGGCGAGGUACCUCAACCAUGGGAGACGGCGGAGUAGGAACUCGAUCAGUAGGCUCAACUGGAGCUGGAGCUGAAGCCUCUACCAUGGGCGACUGCAUAGAAUCAACUGGAGCUGGAGCUGAAGCCUCAACCGCGUGAGAGGUCGCAGCAUGAUCGCCGCGCCGGCUAGAAGCAUGUAAUCGCCGGUGUCUAUCCU
RNAcentral lists this long non-coding RNA (253 nucleotides) under Lotus japonicus. RNAcentral's name for it is "long non-coding RNA (LJAP_LNC000074)". The record is from RNAcentral. Lineage: Eukaryota; Viridiplantae; Streptophyta; Magnoliopsida; Fabales; Fabaceae.